Gaeumannomyces graminis is the source of this 72-nucleotide transfer RNA. It matches the Rfam family "tRNA". From Rfam's summary of the family: Transfer RNA (tRNA) molecules are approximately 80 nucleotides in length. Lineage: Eukaryota; Fungi; Ascomycota; Sordariomycetes; Magnaporthales; Magnaporthaceae. The record is from Rfam.
GGUCGUAUAGCGCAAUGGUAACGCGUUCGCUUUUAUAGCGGGAGGUUUUAAGUUCGAUUCCCGGUGCAACCU